AUAAUGGGUCAGCGACUUAUAUUCUGUAGCAAGGUUAACCGAAUAGGGGAGCCGAAGGGAAACCGAGUCUUAACUGGGCGUUAAGUUGCAGGGUAUAGACCCGAAACCCGGUGAUCUAGCCAUGGGCAGGUUGAAGGUUGGGUAACACUAACUGGAGGACCGAACCGACUAAUGUUGAAAAAUUAGCGGAUGACUUGUGGCUGGGGGUGAAAGGCCAAUCAAACCGGGAGAUAGCUGGUUCUCCCCGAAAGCUAUUUAGGUAGCGCCUCGUGAAUUCAUCUCCGGGGGUAGAGCACUGUUUCGGCAAGGGGGUCAUCCCGACUUACCAACCCGAUGCAAACUGCGAAUACCGGAGAAUGUUAUCACGGGAGACACACGGCGGGUGCUAACGUCCGUCGUGAAGAGGGAAACAACCCAGACCGCCAGCUAAGGUCCCAAAGUCAUGGUUAAGUGGGAAACGAUGUGGGAAGGCCCAGACAGCCAGGAUGUUGGCUUAGAAGCAGCCAUCAUUUAAAGAAAGCGUAAUAGCUCACUGGUCGAGUCGGCCUGCGCGGAAGAUGUAACGGGGCUAAACCAUGCACCGAAGCUGCGGCAGCGACGCUGAUGCGUUGUUGGGUAGGGGAGCGUUCUGUAAGCCUGUGAAGGUGUGCUGUGAGGCAUGCUGGAGGUAUCAGAAGUGCGAAUGCUGACAUAAGUAACGAUAAAGCGGGUGAAAAGCCCGCUCGCCGGAAGACCAAGGGUUCCUGUCCAACGUUAAUCGGGGCAGGGUGAGUCGACCCCUAAGGCGAGGCCGAAAGGCGUAGUCGAUGGGAAACAGGUUAAUAUUCCUGUACUUGGUGUUACUGCGAAGGGGGGACGGAGAAGGCUAUGUUGGCCGGGCGACGGUUGUCCCGGUUUAAGCGUGUAGGCUGGUUUUCCAGGCAAAUCCGGAAAACUAAGGCUGAGGCGUGAUGACGAGGCACUACGGUGCUGAAGCAACAAAUGCCCUGCUUCCAGGAAAAGCCUCUAAGCAUCAGGUAACAUCAAAUCGUACCCCAAACCGACACAGGUGGUCAGGUAGAGAAUACCAAGGCGCUUGAGAGAACUCGGGUGAAGGAACUAGGCAAAAUGGUGCCGUAACUUCGGGAGAAGGCACGCUGAUAUGUAGGUGAAGUCCCUCGCGGAUGGAGCUGAAAUCAGUCGAAGAUACCAGCUGGCUGCAACUGUUUAUUAAAAACACAGCACUGUGCAAACACGAAAGUGGACGUAUACGGUGUGACGCCUGCCCGGUGCCGGAAGGUUAAUUGAUGGGGUCAGCGCAAGCGAAGCUCUUGAUCGAAGCCCCGGUAAACGGCGGCCGUAACUAUAACGGUCCUAAGGUAGCGAAAUUCCUUGUCGGGUAAGUUCCGACCUGCACGAAUGGCGUAAUGAUGGCCAGGCUGUCUCCACCCGAGACUCAGUGAAAUUGAACUCGCUGUGAAGAUGCAGUGUACCCGCGGCAAGACGGAAAGACCCCGUGAACCUUUACUAUAGCUUGACACUGAACAUUGAGCCUUGAUGUGUAGGAUAGGUGGGAGGCUUUGAAGUGUGGACGCCAGUCUGCAUGGAGCCGACCUUGAAAUACCACCCUUUAAUGUUUGAUGUUCUAACGUUGACCCGUAAUCCGGGUUGCGGACAGUGUCUGGUGGGUAGUUUGACUGGGGCGGUCUCCUCCUAAAGAGUAACGGAGGAGCACGAAGGUUGGCUAAUCCUGGUCGGACAUCAGGAGGUUAGUGCAAUGGCAUAAGCCAGCUUGACUGCGAGCGUGACGGCGCGAGCAGGUGCGAAAGCAGGUCAUAGUGAUCCGGUGGUUCUGAAUGGAAGGGCCAUCGCUCAACGGAUAAAAGGUACUCCGGGGAUAACAGGCUGAUACCGCCCAAGAGUUCAUAUCGACGGCGGUGUUUGGCACCUCGAUGUCGGCUCAUCACAUCCUGGGGCUGAAGUAGGUCCCAAGGGUAUGGCUGUUCGCCAUUUAAAGUGGUACGCGAGCUGGGU
Molecule: ribosomal RNA, 2013 nt
Filed under: Escherichia coli
Lineage: Bacteria; Pseudomonadati; Pseudomonadota; Gammaproteobacteria; Enterobacterales; Enterobacteriaceae
Description: partial 23S ribosomal RNA
Rfam family: Bacterial large subunit ribosomal RNA
Source: RNAcentral